Molecule: ribosomal RNA, 858 nt
Filed under: uncultured bacterium
Lineage: Bacteria
Description: SSU rRNA
Rfam family: Bacterial small subunit ribosomal RNA
Source: RNAcentral
UACGGAGGGUGCAAGCGUUAAUCGGAAUUACUGGGCGUAAAGCGUGCGUAGGCGGCGAUUUAAGUCAGAUGUGAAAUCCCCGGGCUUAACCUGGGAAUGGCAUUUGAUACUGGGUCGCUAGAGUUGAGUAGAGGGCAGUGGAAUUUCAGGUGUAGCGGUGAAAUGCGUAGAGAUCUGAAGGAACACCAGUGGCGAAGGCGACUGCCUGGACUCAAACUGACGCUGAGGUACGAAAGCGUGGGUAGCAAACGGGAUUAGAUACCCCGGUAGUCCACGCCGUAAACGAUGUCAACUAACUGUUGGGUUCUUAUUUGAACUUAGUAGUGGAGCUAACGUAUUAAGUUGACCGCCUGGGGAGUACGGCCGCAAGGCUAAAACUCAAAUGAAUUGACGGGGGCCCGCACAAGCGGUGGAGCAUGUGGUUUAAUUCGAUGCAACGCGAAGAACCUUACCUACCCUUGACAUCCUCAGAACUUGUUAGAGAUAACUUGGUGCCUUCGGGAACUGAGAGACAGGUGCUGCAUGGCUGUCGUCAGCUCGUGUCGUGAGAUGUUGGGUUAAGUCCCGUAACGAGCGCAACCCUUAUCCUUAGUUGCCAACAGUUCGGCUGGGAACUCUAGGGAGACUGCCGGUGAUAAACCGGAGGAAGGUGGGGACGACGUCAAGUCAUCAUGGCCCUUAUGGGUAGGGCUACACACGUGCUACAAUGGUCAGUACAGAGGGAAGCCAACUCGAGAGAGCGCGCAAAUCCCACAAAGCUGAUCCUAGUCCGGAUUGCAGUCUGCAACUCGACUGCAUGAAGUCGGAAUCGCUAGUAAUCGCAGAUCAGAAUGCUGCGGUGAAUACGUUCCCGGGCCU